GCUUUCCUAAUGUCUUCCCAAUCUUUGGCAGGAAUAGCGAGAGACACUGCCAGAAGUGGCCAAUGUCCAGAGAAACAAAAAAGCCAUAGAAGUCCAAAGUCAGGGAUGGCUCACCUGAAUCCCAUAGCCUUGGGGAAGCAAUGGGGCCAGAACCCAGACUCACAUCUUUCGGUUUUGAUCCAUACAGGAAGACAGAAAAAGAAAAUGAAGAUUGUAACCUGGAAGACCCCUCAGGACUGUCCAGAAUAAGAGGUGCUAAGGGAUAACCCCUCCCUAAAUGGCCAGAAGAGGACCGUGGAGAAGAAAGCAUCUGUCUUUGUCUGACUGCAGCGGACCUCUCGGGACAGUUGGUUCUGUGAUUCUGGUUUGGGAGCAGGGAUGGGAGGAGGGGAGCUGGGUCUUCAGGGGCACCUCCAGGCCCACACCUGAGGGGGGAGGGGGAAGCUUCAUCCUGAAACCUUCUCCCAAGCAUUAGACAAUUUUCUUUUUGAUCACACCGAUUUUUUUCUGGCGGUCUUGAAAAUCAAAAUCCUACACUGACUGAUCCCUUUUUUCAAAAAAUUGAGUUAAAAUUUGCAUACACUGAAAAGCACAGAUAUUAAACGUACAUUUGAUGAGUUUUGACAAAUGUGUAACAAAGCAACCAACCAAAAGAGAACACUUCCACGUGCAUUUGAAAGCUUCUGUGUGGUACAGGUAUUGGCUGUAGCCCUUCUAUACUUGCAAUCAUGUCAGGUUAGUCAACAGUUUUGUUCAUAUCUGCAAUUUCCUUGCUGAUUUUCUUUCUAUCUGUCUUACCAAUUACUGAGAUGUGUUGAAAUCUUGAGCUACAGUUAUAGUUACCUGCUUUCCUCUUUCAAUCUGUUUGUGCUUCAUGUAUCUUGAAGCUCUAUUACUUGCAUACAUAUUACAAUUAUUGUCUUGUUAAAAAUGACAAAGAGUAACAAGUGUUGGUGAGGAUGUAGAGAUAAGGGAACCCUUCUGCACUAUUGGUGGGAAUGCAAAUUGGUGCAACCACUAUGGAAAGAUGUAUGGAGGGUCCUCGAAAAACAAAAAAAUAGAACUACCACAUAAGCCAGCAAUCCCACUUCUGGGAAUAUAUCUGAAGGAAAAAACUCCACUGUGUUGAAGAGAUAUGUGCACCCCCCUGCUCACUGCAGCAUUAUUUACAAUAACCAAGACACGGAAACAACCUAAGGGUCUAUCAAUGGAUGAAUAGAUUAAUAAGGUGUGGUAUAAAAUUGAAUAGUAUUAAGUCAUAAAAAAGAAGGAAAUCUUUCCAUUUGUAACAACAUGGAUGAACCUUGAGGGCAUUAUGCUAAGUGAAAUAAAUCAUACAGAAAAAGACAAAUCGUGUAUAGUCUCACUUAUAUGUGGAAUCUAAAACAAAACUCUCAAACUCAUAGAAAAAAGUUCAAAUUCAUGGUUAAAAGAGGUGAGAUGGUAUGAGGAGAGGUAACUGGAUGAAGUCAAAAGGUACAACUUCCAGUUACAAGUACUAGGGAUACGAGAUACAAUAGGGUGACUAUAGUUAACGCUGCUGUAUGGUGUAUUUGAAAGUUAAGAGUGUAAAUCCUAAGAGUUCUUAUCAUAAGGAAAAAGACAUUUUUUUCUUUUUCUUUUGUAUUUUUUGUAUCUGUAUGAGAAGAUGGAUAUUAACUAACUUAUUGUAAUAAUCAUUCUACAAUAUAUAAAAAUCAAAUCAUUAUACUAUAUGCUUUAAAUUUGUACAGUGCUGUAUGUCAAUUAUAUCUCAAUAAAACUGGAAAAAAUAAAGUACCCCAAGUACUAAAGAUAAAGUAUUCUAUCUUUUCAGGUAAAAAAAAAAAAAAGCAAACAAAAAAAUGUCCUCAUGAUUUCUGCAAAUCUAGAAUUUUGAGAGAGCCUUUCUGUCUUACAGGUUGCAAUUAAUGUUGACCAGUGCUGAAGAAUCAGGAUCUAGGACGGCUCUCUUGCAUAGCAGCCUGUAUGACCAUACCAAAGGAUAGGCAGACCAAGGCCCCGGUGGUAACCCCUAACCAGAGUGACUGCUGGGCUUUAGAGAAGAAUGAAGAGUAUUCAUUGGAACAGGUGCUAUAAAAAAUGAACCAGCUGAAUUUGGAAGGAAUUCAUUCACUGGUCCAAGGCCACAUGGCAGUAGGUUGAAGAGGAGAGAUUAGAAUCUAGGAGUAUCUAACUCCAGACCCAAAUUUGUAAUGGAGGCACCCCCCUGCUCACAACGCUGUACUGGCAGCAAGGAUGUAGACUUUGCUGAGACCAAAUGGGCUUCCCUUGUUCCUUCCCUUAUUCAUUCAUCCAACGUACAUUAAGCACCUGUUAUGCACCAGGUAUGAUGCUGGAUCCUGGGGCACCCUCCCUCCCCAACCAGCCAUUUUCCCACCUCUCUCAGCCUCCCCAC
Non-coding RNA from Manis javanica (Malayan pangolin), 2398 nucleotides. The record is from RefSeq and is a predicted model, not a curated record. NCBI's taxonomy places the organism in Eukaryota, Metazoa, Chordata, Mammalia, Pholidota, Manidae.